UGUCCCCCAGCCUGAGGUGCAGUGCUGCAUCUCUGGUCAGUUGGGAGUCUGAGAUGAAGCACUGUAGCUCGGGAAGGGAGAAGU
Molecule: non-coding RNA, 84 nt
Organism: Ictidomys tridecemlineatus (thirteen-lined ground squirrel)
Lineage: Eukaryota; Metazoa; Chordata; Mammalia; Rodentia; Sciuridae
Source: Rfam